Molecule: ribosomal RNA, 304 nt
Filed under: uncultured bacterium
Lineage: Bacteria
Description: partial 16S ribosomal RNA
Rfam family: Bacterial small subunit ribosomal RNA
Source: RNAcentral
CAGCAGUAGCCACGGGAAUACAGAGGGUGCGAGCGUUAAUCGGAUUUACUGGGCGUAAAGCGUGCGUAGGCGGCUUCUUAAGUCGGAUGUGAAAUCCCUGAGCUUAACUUAGGAAUUGCAUUCGAUACUGGGAAGCUAGAGUAUGGGAGAGGAUGGUAGAAUUCCAGGUGUAGCGGUGAAAUGCGUAGAGAUCUGGAGGAAUACCGAUGGCGAAGGCAGCCAUCUGGCCUAAUACUGACGCUGAGGUACGAAAGCAUGGGGAGCAAACAGGAUUAGAUACCCGCGUAGUCCCUGUCUCUUAUAU